Long non-coding RNA from Chrysemys picta bellii (western painted turtle), 544 nucleotides. RefSeq lists it as uncharacterized. NCBI's taxonomy places the organism in Eukaryota, Metazoa, Chordata, Testudines, Emydidae. The record is from RefSeq and is a predicted model, not a curated record.
AUUUGGCCACUGGAAGCCUGUCACUAUGUCACUCGAGAGCCACACUCGGCUUUGGAGAAGUUACCCUGAGAAGGGAGGGAAAUCAUUUCCCAGACUGUGCCCUACCCUAAAAGAUGAAGAGGAGGCCGUGUGCAGGCAGCCUAUGCAAUACAAUAGAACUGCUGACAUCAGCUAGAAGGAUUGGCAGAAGCAGCCCAUAGGGACCAGCAUUCCAUCGCUGUUCCUGGAGGACACGCAGAUAGCAGACACUUGGAAUGAAGUUUAUUACAGUUUUGCAGACAUUUUAAUUUUUUUUAAUCAAAAAUUACACAGACUUCUCUCAGCAAAAAUAACGGUCUAAUCCGAAUGGAAAUCUGAUAGUUUGUGAAUGUGAUGGAGUGUUUAAAAUCUCUGCCAUCCUCUGUUCCUAAACAAGGCAUCCGUGUUGACAACUCAUGAUUUUACUGAGAGUAUCAUGAUUGUUGGUGUUUUUGUUAAACCUGGAGUCAUGUGAUUCUGUGAGAAUCUCGGCUUUCACUUUAAAUAAAGGAGUAGUAAACAACUA